RNAcentral lists this ribosomal RNA (253 nucleotides) under uncultured bacterium. Its description in RNAcentral is "partial 16S ribosomal RNA". It matches the Rfam family "Bacterial small subunit ribosomal RNA", at positions 524 to 776 of the family's 1533-position model. The record is from RNAcentral.
UACGUAGGGGGCGAGCGUUGUCCGGAUUUAUUGGGCGUAAAGCGCGCGCAGGCGGUUCGUUAAGUCCGAUGUGAAAGCUCCCGGCUCAACUGGGAGAGGUCUUCGGAUACUGGCGAACUCGAGGGAGGCAGAGGAAGGUGGGAUUCCGGGUGUAGUGGUGAAAUGCGUAGAGAUCUGGAGGAACACCAGUGGCGAAGGCGGCCUUCUGGGCCUUUCCUGACGCUGAGGCGCGAAAGCGUGGGGAGCGAACCGG